This 292-nucleotide ribosomal RNA is filed under the name uncultured bacterium. RNAcentral's name for it is "partial 16S ribosomal RNA". RNAcentral also lists the same sequence under 1 other name. The record is from RNAcentral.
GGACUACCGGGGUUUCUAAUCCUGUUUGAUCCCCACGCUUUCGUGCAUCAGUGUCAAUAUUCGCGUAGCCAGCUGCCUUCGCAAUUGGUGUUCUAUGUCAUAUCUAAGCAUUUCACCGCUACAUGACAUAUUCCGCUGACCUCCACGGUAUUCAAGAUCAAUAGUAUCAAUGGCAGUUCCCAAGUUAAGCUCGGGGAUUUCACCACUGACUUAUCAACCCACCUACGCACCCUUUAAACCCAGUGAAUCCGGAUAACGCUUGCACCCUCCGUAUUACCGCGGCUGCUGGCAC